AGCGAACGCUGGCGGCAUGCCUAACACAUGCAAGUCGAACGAGACCUUCGGGUCUAGUGGCGCACGGGUGCGUACGCGUGGGAACCUGCCCUUAGGUUCGGAAUAACUCCCCGAAAGGGGUGCUAAUACCGGAUAAUGUCUUCGGACCAAAGAUUUAUCGCCUUUGGAUGGGCCCGCGUUGGAUUAGCUAGUUGGUAGGGUAAAAGCCUACCAAGGCGACGAUCCAUAGCUGGUCUGAGAGGAUGAUCAGCCACACUGGGACUGAGACACGGCCCAGACUCCUACGGGAGGCAGCAGUGGGGAAUAUUGGACAAUGGGCGAAAGCCUGAUCCAGCAAUGCCGCGUGAGUGAUGAAGGCCUUAGGGUUGUAAAGCUCUUUUACCCGGGAUGAUAAUGACAGUACCGGGAGAAUAAGCUCCGGCUAACUCCGUG
RNAcentral lists this ribosomal RNA (432 nucleotides) under uncultured bacterium. RNAcentral describes it as "partial 16S ribosomal RNA". It matches the Rfam family "Bacterial small subunit ribosomal RNA", at positions 29 to 507 of the family's 1533-position model. The record is from RNAcentral.